GGCAGAGCUGCAGGUCACUGCGCUCGUGUGAACCACGGUAAACAUGUAGAGAAACAGAGCCGGGGGUCUGUCAGAAUGACGGUCGCGAUAAAGAACAGUGAAUCAGACCAUCAGGCUGAGCGUGUGGAUUGUGAAGCUGCAGCAUGGUGGAGCUUUUCUCUCCUCCUCUCAGUUUGUUGUGGUUCGGGUCGGACGGGGACGCGCUGCAGCGCUGUAAAAUGCUGGAUGUGGAUUACCAGAUAAAACACAUGUGAACAAGGAAGUGCUGGGUGUAGAUGUCACGCUGUGUGUAGUAGCCAGUUGCAAAGUUGCAGGUCCUUAUUAUUCCAGAAGGAUGACUGCAAUCAAAUCCAUUGUUCUGUGAGAACCUGUUGGUUCAGCUUGUAACGAACUAACACUCCUGUCGACAGGUAUGGAUGUCCCUGGACAGAAGUACUUCACUACUAUUGACUUUGUACUGUUUGCCCUCCUUCUUGUGGCCUCCAUGGCCAUAGGGGUCUACUAUGCCCUCUCUGGAGGACGGCAGAGAACCACUCAAGAAUUCCUGUUGGCUGACCGGAGCAUGAAGUGCCUGCCCCUUUCACUGUCUCUCAUGGCCACUUUCCAGUCAGCUGUCGCUAUAGUCGGCACACCAGCUGAAGUGUACACCAAUGGCACGCAGUACUGGUUCAUAGGCUGCUCCUACAUUCUGGGACUCCUCAUACCUGCCCACAUUUUCAUUCCAGUAUUUUACAGACUGAAUCUCACAAGUGCUUACCAGUAUCUGGAACUACGUUUUUGUAAAACGGUUCGUAUCUGUGGAACAGUUACAUUUAUUUUUCAAAUGGUCAUUUACAUGGGUGUUGGUGUAUAUACCCCUGCCCUUGCACUACAUGCAGUAACUGGUUUUCACUUAUGGGGAGCAGUGUUAGCAACUGGACUAGUGUGCACAGUGUACACAGCCCUGGGUGGAUUGAAGGCAGUGAUCUGGACAGAUGUGUUUCAGACAGUGGUGAUGUUCACAGGCCAGAUGGCUGUCAUCAUAGUGGGUGUGCACCAAGUGGGUGGUUUUUCAGAUUUUUGGAGGAAAGUCACAGACGGAGGCCGCAUCUCAGGCAUUGACCUAAAUCCAGACCCAACAGUGAGGCACACCUUUUGGACAUUGGCGGUUGGUGGAGUGUUUCUGAUGCUGUCUUUGUAUGGAGUGAACCAGGCACAAGUGCAGAGAUACCUCAGCUCUCGGACUGAGAAAGAGGCUAUAAUGUCAUGCUACAUGGCAUUUCCUUGUCUUCAGAUUGCGUUGGGUCUAAGCUGCCUAAUGGGCCUUGUUAUGUUUGCAUGUUAUGGUGAUAUCAACCUUGUAGACCAACAGUACAUCAAAUCUAAAGACCAGAUGGUCCUGUACUUUGUCAUGGAUAUGCUGCAGGACUUCCCUGGACUGCCUGGAUUGUUUGUUGCUUGCUUAUUCAGUGCAUCUUUAAGCACAAUAUCUUCAGCUUUCAAUUCCUUGGCCACAGUAACAAUGGAGGACCUGAUCAAGCCAAAUUAUCCUUCUAUAACAGAUUCUAGAGCCACCUUACUGUCCAAGAUACUUGCUUUUUCAUAUGGACUUGUCUGUCUUGCUAUGGCCUACAUUGUCCAUUUGAUGAACAGUUCUGUUUUGCAGGCAGCACUCAGUAUCUUCGGUAUGCUAGGAGGACCCUUGCUGGGUCUCUUCUGUCUUGGGAUAUUUUUCCCUUGGGCCAACAGCUCUGGUGCUGUGACGGGCCUGAUUGCUGGUCUGGUCAUGGCGUUCUGGGUUGGCAUUGGUGGAUUUGUGGCUCAGAUGUCAAGCAGUGUCACUGUUUGUCCCCAUAACUGCACUGAUACAGUAGCAACAAAAAAUCUUACCAUGGCUACAGUGACCGCUAUCAUGACUCCAGUCACCAAUAAACCAAGGUAACACACAGACACAAUAAACCAAGUAACACACAGACACAAUAACCCAAGUAACACACAGACACAAUAAACCAAGGCAACACACAGACACAAUAAACCAAGGUAACACACAGACACAAUAAACCAAGCAACACACAGACACAAUAAACCAAGGUAACACACAGACACAAUAAACCAAAGUAACACACAGACACAAUAACCCGAGGUAACACACAACCCUGAUUACUUCUGCUCUGAAAUCUGUGACCAGUAAUAAAGAUUUACUGAAAACAGUAAAAAAUAAUAAGUAAGUAAAAUAAAUAUUAAACAAAUACUUAUAGAAUAAAGAAAGAAAGGCUUACCAUGGUACUAAUGGCAUGUAAGGUGUAUUAAACCCAAUGAUUUUAAAAUAAUGCUAUUGCUGUGUCCAGUGUGCCAUAAGAGGGCAGUAUUACCACAAUUUGCAAAUGACUGUAAAUCUGUGAAUCCAGGAUCCAAAACCAUAAUAAAAAAAAAAAUAGCUCUAAGUUUAUUUUUAAAACUUUAACUUACAACACAGUUACUGUUAAUAACUUUUAUUUGAAUCAUUAUUUAAUUUAAACUGUUGUUGAAUCCUUACCUUAGAUUUGAACAUUCUCAAUAAAAAUGUAAAAAUAAACUUUGCUUUUUUUUAAAUUCAUUAAUACACUACAAUACUCAUAUUUGUUAAAUACUUAAUCUGUAAAUUCCCUAUGAUAAACUAAGGCCAAAUAAAGUUAGGCUAAUAUUAACAAAUAGAGUAGAGGAUAGCGGAAAAAAGAUCCAGUAUUCAAAACAGGAACAAAUCCCCCACCAAACAGCAGAAUUACAAUAAACAAAUAGUUAUGCAAAGUAUGACCAAAGACACAGCAGCAUUUAGAUGGUGGAUAGAGAGUUUUUUAGUAAUAUAAAAUCAUACAGCAGCACUGGCCCUUUUGUUAAUAAAAUUGGACAAAAUGUUCAAUGUGUCAUGUAUAUUUAUAAGACAAGUGUGCCAGAAGCACAUACAUCGUUCAUGCAAGGGUUGAAUUUUUCUUAAAUAUGUUGGGGGAAAUGAUGAUUGACUGGUCAUAUGCAUUUAAUAAAUAUCUAGACUUGAGAACUCAGUUUUAAAAAAUGGCAUUGGGUAAUAAAAGUUUAAUAUUUUACCCUAGUUUUAGUCCUAUUUGUGAAAUACUUUGCCUGUUCUAUUUUUUUUUUUUUGUAUUUGUGGUAUUUUUGUCAUUUUCAUAUAAGUUGGCUUUUCCAGCUCUUGCUUCUGAGUGGGAUGCUGAUUUCUGUUGUAAAGGGACACGACAGCAACUUUUUGUACCACGUUUUU
Astyanax mexicanus (Mexican tetra) is the source of this 3235-nucleotide RNA transcript. It is a transcript of the gene named solute carrier family 5 member 6, with no coding region annotated. The record is from RefSeq and is a predicted model, not a curated record. Lineage: Eukaryota; Metazoa; Chordata; Actinopteri; Characiformes; Acestrorhamphidae. The transcript has 14 exons.